RNAcentral lists this long non-coding RNA (1186 nucleotides) under Chlamydomonas reinhardtii. RNAcentral's name for it is "long non-coding RNA (CREI_LNC000126)". The record is from RNAcentral. Lineage: Eukaryota; Viridiplantae; Chlorophyta; Chlorophyceae; Chlamydomonadales; Chlamydomonadaceae.
CCAAGGCUCUCAAUUGAGUCGCCUUGAAUGGCCAAUUCCGCGUGACACGCCCUCGCGCCGUACCAUGCGCCGGGGCGUGUUUGCGCGCGGCCGCACUCGCACGCUUCAGGACGGAGCUUGAUAUGCAUUGCAUAUAUUCGCUCAGUGAAAUGUACUGACUCAUCGAGAGCGCUCAUGGAAACCGCGAGCGCAUUCCCCUGAAACUGGCUCAUUUUCCGCGUGUGCGAGUGCGCGUUCGGCUUUCAUGCAAAAUUUCAUGCGCUCAGGAAGGUCUUGUGUCUCUCAGGCCAUACCUGGCAUACCGCAAGCCUCACCCCGGCUUCUCAGGGAAGCCCACCCGUGCUGUGUCUGAAGGAGGCUGAAGCCUGAAGGUUCCCCUUCCAUUUGCCUUUCGGUGCCAUCAGCCGUAGUUCGCUCCUGCUGGUUCUUGUGUUGUUUUUGCUUUCAAGCUGCCAUACACCCCCACCCGAAGGCACAAGGCAAGAGAGAGUCUCUUCUUUACAAAAAACCUGGGAUGCCAGGUGCCCUCCACCUUGCCCACAUUCUACACAUUCCUUAGCCUUCUUCAACUCCGCCUCCGCCUUGCCUUGCCCAGCGCAGACACGCAUUGUACUUCGCAUUAUUGGCGGCCUGCUGCAUGCUGUAUGCCAGUGCGUUGGAGCGUCCGGCGGUGCUAUUCCGGCCGUUGUCCUCGCGGGCACAGGGCUUGCAUCUUCCAGGGGUAGGCCGCCGCCGCUGGCGAGAAGGGCCCUAACCACGUUCUCGCCCACGGCAUUCAGGGGCCCCCAAGUGCUUACUUUUUAGCGUUUGGGGGGGCUCCGCCCUCCCACCCCACCCCCCCGGGAAAGGGGUAGUUUGCGAGAUUCGGGGCCGUAUGCAGCCCCACGCGGCGAGAAUGCAUCCCGGGAAAUGCCCAAUCUUUCUCGCCUGAGGGCCUACAAUGGGGGUGGUUUCUUGCCGCUCACCGAAGAUGCAAGCCCUGGUCCACGCUUGGGGCCGUAGGGGUUUCGCGAGUGCGGGGUUCAGGCUCGGGGUUUGAGUGGGUGCGCGGGUUUCAGUGUUAGGGGUAUCUCGAGUGCAGGUGGAGUUGGGUUCAGGGCCUGGCAGGUGCCGGGACAGGGUUCAGGUUCAGGUUCAGGUUCAGUAGGGCUUGGCAGGUGCCGGCCGGCCGUCCUGUGUAAGGCCC